RNAcentral lists this ribosomal RNA (440 nucleotides) under uncultured bacterium. RNAcentral's name for it is "partial 16S ribosomal RNA". It matches the Rfam family "Bacterial small subunit ribosomal RNA", at positions 338 to 795 of the family's 1533-position model. The record is from RNAcentral.
CCUACGGGUGGCAGCAGUGGGGAAUCUUGCGCAAUGGGGGAAACCCUGAUGCAGCGACGCCGCGUGAGUGAUGAAGUACUUCGUUUCGUAAAGCUCUCUCAGCAGGGAAGAAAAUGACGGUAACUAAGUAUGCACCUCUGGCUGAUUCCGUGUCAGCAGCCGAGGUCAUACGUAGGGGGCAAGCGUUAUCCGGAUUGAAUGGGUGUAAAGGGAGCGUAGACGAUGCGCCAAGUAUGGCGUGAAAUGCCGUAGCUUAACUGCGGGACUUCAUUGGAAACUGGAGAACUAGAGUGCGGAAGGGGUAAGCGGAAGUCCAAGUGUAGCGGUGAAAUGCGUAGAGAUAAGGAGGAACACCAGUGGCGAAGGCGGCUUACUGGACUGUAACUGACGUUGAGGCGCGAAAGCGUGGGGAGCAAACAGGAGUAGAUACCCGAGUAGUC